GGGUAGAGUAAUGCGUGACCAACCUGCCCCAUGCUCCAGAAUAGCUCUUGGAAACGGGUGGUAAUGCUGGAUGCUCCAACUUGACGCAUGUCUUGUUGGGAAAGUGUUUAGUGGCAUGGGAUGGGGUCGCGUCCUAUCAGCUUGUAGGCGGGGUAAUGGCCCACCUAGGCUUCGACGGGUAGCCGGCCUGAGAGGGCGGACGGCCACAUUGGGACUGAGACACGGCCCAAACUCCUACGGGAGGCAGCAGCU
This 252-nucleotide ribosomal RNA is filed under the name uncultured Gardnerella sp. RNAcentral's name for it is "partial 16S ribosomal RNA". It matches the Rfam family "Bacterial small subunit ribosomal RNA", at positions 100 to 355 of the family's 1533-position model. The record is from RNAcentral. Lineage: Bacteria; Bacillati; Actinomycetota; Actinomycetes; Bifidobacteriales; Bifidobacteriaceae.